Molecule: transfer RNA, 82 nt
Filed under: Dreissena polymorpha
Lineage: Eukaryota; Metazoa; Mollusca; Bivalvia; Myida; Dreissenidae
Rfam family: tRNA
About the family: Transfer RNA (tRNA) molecules are approximately 80 nucleotides in length.
Source: Rfam by way of RNAcentral
GUUGUCGUGGCUUAGUGGUUAAGGCGAUGGACCAUAAACUUUUUGGGAUCUUCCCGCGCAGGUUCGAUUCCUGCCGACAUCG